ACACAUAGAUAUGACCACGGACAAAGCAAACUUUGGUACAUAAUUUAUCGUAACAUCUUAAUGCUUGUUGCUCUCAAGUGUGAACAAAAGAAAACAUAUGAUCCCUAAAACAUUGUUAACCAUUACUCCACUUCAAGUUCCAGGAUAAGGUUGCUUCUUGCCGAUGACUCCUUGGCCUCUCCUCCAAUUGACAGGAUGCUGAAGCUACACCAUCGCUGAUGGCCCCUUGGCUUCUCUUAUCCGAUUGGCAGGCUGUUGCAGCUACCAACCAAAUACAUCCACACGGGUUUGUAACUUUGUAUGCAGCUCCCACAAGGACCUAGGCACACACAAAUGGCCAGCAUAGUUAGUAUCAAUUAACAGGGGCCAAAAUAAACAGACAUGCCACACACAAAAAGAAUCAAACGAAAUAAGCAGACAUGCCACACACAAAAAGAAUCAAACGACAGUUUAUCACUGGAACAGAGACAUAGAAGAGAGCUGAAAAUACCCCAUGGUUUUGUUGAUGGAGGAUGAUAACAGCAAUCUGGACGCUGCCUGGAUCUCUAGAUGGAGAAUAGCGACAAAAAACACAUGUGAGCAACCAAAAGAAAGAGAACAUGGUAACUAAAAUCAAAAUAAGGGUGCAAACACAAAAACAAUUCAAAUAAAGUAGCAUGGAUCCUAUCUCAGAUAUUUCCCAAGGCAAUCCAUAUUUCAGUAUCCCAAAGAGAAAGAUUAGAAAUGUGUCAUCACAAGUAAAAUCACAAGAAAAUUGCUCAGUGGAUGCAUGGCAGCAUACUACCAGCAAACGUACCCAACAACCUGAGAUUAAUACUCGCAAUUCGAGAGCUUCCAUGAAAGUUGUGAAUUUAUACAAACAGAAAGGUAUAUAGGACUUGAUACUAACUUAGAAUUACAAGAUUCAACCAAUUUUGUAAAGGAAAUGGUAAAGAACCAUGACCUAUCAUCACCUGAGAGUUCUUCCCGUGAGUAGAACAAUGUUCAUGCUUAGCAUGCUUAUUUCAGAAAGCUAUCUUCGCUAGUAGUUGGUAGUAAGUUAAGAACCAAUAGACUGCAUUAAAGAUACUUAAAAAAGGGCACGUGUUAGGUGUUUUGAAUCUUGGAUAAAAAGGGUUGUACGAACAAUAAUAAUGGAGAUAAUCAUCUUUCAUAUACCGGUAGAUUUAGAACACAUACAGUAUAGUGGGAUAGAAAUAUUGAGAGAAACAACAGCAGCAAAUGCAAACUACAUCUAUGACCAUGAGCCAUAGUAGGGAAACCCAUCAGGAAAAUAUAUUAAUGCAGACAUGUAGUUAAUUAACUUAUUUGUAAGGGCCUAUCCUGCAAUUUAAAGGACAUGUAAUGAAGAGAACAUAUGCUGAAAGACUAACCUCAACCAUCGUCAUGGGCUGCGGAAAUAGCUAUUAUAAUCAGCCAAAGGAGCAAGGUGGAGCAAUCGAGCAAAAGGGAGUGAGGUCCACACAUUUGCAGAUGAACCAAUGACCAGAAACUGAAGAACGCAAUAGCAGCAGCACAAAUCUUCUUCAUAAUAAGAAAAGCAAUCUUAAAUCAGACAAGGAUACUGAUAUGCAAAUUUGAGGUAGAAAAAUGUUCAUUUUCCCAGGUAAAAACUCGCAAUUGGUCUGUAAAUACACUGACUAAAUAGAUCUGUAGAUUAAACAUGAGAUCCUACUAACAAACACGAAAUGACAUUCUCUUCUAGGUUCAAAUCAGCAAGGAAGUAGUAACCACCUUAAUUAGAAGGGUCUCCUCAGCCUGAAGCCAUACAAGUAAGGUGGCCCCUGACAAGGAGGAUCUCAUGCUCCAUGGGUCAGUCUGGUAUCCUCCAUUUUUGCAAAACUACUCUGGGCCCUGGGUCUCUUUUGAAAUCUACCACAACAUAUAAUUUCAUGUGCUUGUCCCUGUUCAGUUUCUACACAACAUUACAACAAUUUGUAACGCAGUUUAUAAUUUCUCCACAACAUACAUUUUGUAUAGUAUAGGAAAGUCUACAAAGAAAAAUCACAAUAGCCAAGUGUUCCAGCUCGAAAAGGAGAUAAAAUAAGUCAUGCUAUUCUUGCUGCAAAAACUAUGGCUAGAUAAGUUUUAAAGUUCAAAUUUUAGUUUGUAGAGACAACUUAAGAGGCAAGUUAUUAGCUAUUAUGCAUCAGAACGGAAUCUUGACUAAAUAAUAACUUACAUAAGCUUGACUAAAUAAUAACUUACAUAAGCACUGGACCUGUGAACACUCGCUCUCUGGGACAAAUGCAGGCCAAACUAAACUGAAUAUUCUACAUCAGAACAGAAUCUUGACGACAUAGGUAUGAAAUGGCCAAAAAGUGAACACAAAUAAUGUUUGUAUCUUAGUAUUACUACAAAGGAAAAUGGAGGUACUGAUCAUGUGCAUGCAAACAUACAGUGAGUGUUUUAUUUACAUUCACCUUUGAUUCUCCAAAUAUUUUAUGUGCUCUCCAAUAAAACAAAAAUAUUUGGAUGGUGAAUUCACAAGCGAAGGACAACUGAAGUUGCUUAUGUGACAUAGCGGGUAUGAGUGUGAUUGAUGUAUACAUGGAUUUGAGAUUCCUGUAUCUUUGAGCUCAUCCAUGAUAAGAUCCAUAGUCUUCCAUCUAUGUUUUAUACGGAUCACCAGAACCAACGUAUGCCAGAGGAACUCCAUGAGCACUAAAACAUAGCAUGACCUGCAAGUUUCAUGUUCCCUCAGAUAUAGUAUUUCAUUCAGAGCGCAUCAAUUGAAAAGGAUAAAUUCUAUAUAAAGUCCAGAAAAAAUAAAACAGCAAUAGGAGUAAUCGAAGUUAUAUCUGUAUCAAUAGUAAGCCAUUUUUGCUUGACUGCUAUCAUACUAAUUGAGGAUGCAUUCUCCAGGGAGCAAAAAGAAAGCAAAGUAAUUUUCUGAAUACAUUACAAACACAUCGAGAUAAGCAGCUCUCUUAUGCACCUGGACCCAGGAGGAGCUCGAGCGGCAGCCCUGGUUCACGGCGCGGUCAUCGUUGGCAAGAGGAGCAUGGGCCGUAGAGAUGGUUGGCUCCCUCCAACUUUCGUGUCGCCGUCAGUCAACCCGUGAGGUCAGCUCCAUCGUACAUUAAGAAAUUAUAUACGUAUAAUGGUAAAGAUAAUAACAUAUCCAAAGUUAUCUCCUUAUCUGCAUGUUGCUUUCAAACCUAAGACAUCUUGUUUAUUAGAUCCACUAUUGCACAGAGUUUGUAAUCUGCCACUGUGUCCAUACAGAGUAUGGCCAUGUCACGGUGCUGCACUGAAGAAAUAGGAGUCAGGUGGCGCUGUGUGUGCGUGCAGUUAUAUGUAUGCACCGGCCGCCGGGGUGCUGUGUAUUAGUUGACCUGUACAAUAUAGACAGUUCUACUGAUGGCCUAAAUUGGGUACAAGUAUAUGUGCAAGGGAGGUGACAUGCCACACCAUGAGGUUUCAUUUUACUGAACAAUCCAUAAGUAAUAUAAUAGAGAAGUUCAUAUUAGCCAUGACUAAACUAAUGGAGAAAUCUACAGCCCAGGCAUUGCUCCUGCUAUUUUUUCACACUUAAUUCACUUCACUUUUGCAAUCUCCCACAGCAAGGCCAUGAACAGGAAUCACACAAGGAAAAUCAGCCCCAAAUCAUAUAAGCUAAUGGAGAAAUCUGCCAUUGUUUUGCCAACAAAAUCAGAAUCUACACCCAAAAUCAGAAGAGUACCAUAGGCAUAUUCCUUGUCAAACUGAGAAGAAAAUUACGGAGACACAUACGAGGCAUCCCUGGCCUCCCGCUCCAGAUCGGGAAUGUAGUUUCAAGGGGAUUAGAGAGAGAAACUCACGGGCAUGUCUGCUGCUAUACUCCUUCUGCCGAGUCGGCUCGAGCUCCUCCUGUCGAGGCCGGGUCGAGGCCUACGGGAGCCUGCAGAGCACGGGGCGAGGCGCGGCUGGCUGCUGCACCUGUCCCCCGGCGUCCUGCCGAGUCGCUCUUCGGCUCGAGGUCAAGCUAGGUGGAGACAGUNNN
RNAcentral lists this long non-coding RNA (3985 nucleotides) under Triticum aestivum (bread wheat). Its description in RNAcentral is "long non-coding RNA (TAES_LNC003531)". The record is from RNAcentral. Lineage: Eukaryota; Viridiplantae; Streptophyta; Magnoliopsida; Poales; Poaceae.